AAAGCAUCUAAGUGCGAAACUCACCUCGAGAUAAGAUUUCCCAUUCCUUUAUGGAAGUAAGACCCCUGAGAGAUGAUCAGGUAGAUAGGAUGGAAGUGGAAGUGCGGCGACGCAUGGAGCGGACCAUUACUAAUCGGUCGAGGACUUAACCAA
This 153-nucleotide ribosomal RNA is filed under the name Ligilactobacillus ruminis. RNAcentral's name for it is "Lactobacillus ruminis 23S rRNA. Bacterial LSU". It matches the Rfam family "Bacterial large subunit ribosomal RNA", at positions 2774 to 2925 of the family's 2925-position model. The record is from RNAcentral. Lineage: Bacteria; Bacillati; Bacillota; Bacilli; Lactobacillales; Lactobacillaceae.